This 88-nucleotide ribosomal RNA is filed under the name Salmonella enterica subsp. enterica serovar London. RNAcentral describes it as "partial 16S ribosomal RNA". The stretch from base 1 to 78 matches the Rfam family "Bacterial small subunit ribosomal RNA", at positions 1456 to 1533 of the family's 1533-position model. The record is from RNAcentral. Lineage: Bacteria; Pseudomonadati; Pseudomonadota; Gammaproteobacteria; Enterobacterales; Enterobacteriaceae.
ACCACUUUGUGGUUCAUGACUGGGGUGAAGUCGUAACAAGGUAACCGUAGGGGAACCUGCGGUUGGAUCACCUCCUUACCUUAAAGAA